UACAGAGGUCUCAAGCGUUGUUCGGAUUCAUUGGGCGUAAAGGGUGCGUAGGUGGCCAGGUAAGUCGGAUGUGAAAUCCCGGGGCUCAACCCCGGAACUGCAUUCGAUACUGGAUGGCUUGAAUUCGGGAGAGGGAUGCAGAAUUCCAGGUGUAGCGGUGAAAUGCGUAGAUAUCUGGAGGAAUACCGGUGGCGAAGGCGGCAUCCUGGACCGACAUUGACGCUGAACGGCGAAAGCUAGGGGAGCAAACGGG
Molecule: ribosomal RNA, 253 nt
Filed under: uncultured bacterium
Lineage: Bacteria
Description: partial 16S ribosomal RNA
Rfam family: Bacterial small subunit ribosomal RNA
Source: RNAcentral